UACAGGGGUCUCAAGCGUUGUUCGGAUUCAUUGGGCGUAAAGGGUGCGUAGGUGGCGGGGUAAGUCUGGUGUGAAAUCUCGGGGCUCAACCCCGAAACUGCACUGGAUACUGCCUUGCUUGAGUACUGGAGAGGAGAUUGGAAUUUACGGUGUAGCAGUGAAAUGCGUAGAUAUCGUAAGGAAGACCAGUGGCGAAGGCGAAUCUCUGGACAGUUACUGACACUGAGGCACGAAGGCCAGGGGAGCAAACGGG
RNAcentral lists this ribosomal RNA (253 nucleotides) under uncultured bacterium. RNAcentral's name for it is "partial 16S ribosomal RNA". It matches the Rfam family "Bacterial small subunit ribosomal RNA", at positions 524 to 776 of the family's 1533-position model. The record is from RNAcentral.